CUGCAUUUUGAAGGCUGAAACAGAAG
Molecule: non-coding RNA, 26 nt
Filed under: Cricetulus griseus (Chinese hamster)
Lineage: Eukaryota; Metazoa; Chordata; Mammalia; Rodentia; Cricetidae
Source: RNAcentral